This 520-nucleotide long non-coding RNA is filed under the name Triticum aestivum (bread wheat). Its description in RNAcentral is "long non-coding RNA (TAES_LNC010913)". The record is from RNAcentral. Lineage: Eukaryota; Viridiplantae; Streptophyta; Magnoliopsida; Poales; Poaceae.
UGCUACCAGGGUGAUCCAAAGGGUGUAUCUAGGUAGCAUGUUUGUGGCCUCUUGCACUAACAUGAUUAAUGGUAGCUUCUAUUCCAUGACAUGAUUUUUGCAGCUGUAACAAUAUGUUUCAUGCAAGAGGACAUAAAUUUGCAUCCUAUUUUUCUGUCCAGUUAGUUCCAAAUUACAAAUGUUUGUGCUAUCACUGACAAUUUGGUGGAAAAAGAUGAGUCGUAUAUACACCCAGUGUAAGCUUUCACAUCAGCCGUUGCUCUUGAUUGUCUUUGCAAGUCCAUAGAUAUAAUUUCUUAUGAUUUUCCUUUACUCAUAGUAAGUACUGAAUAUUUUGUGCUUCAACCCUUUAGGUGUUAAUUUCUAUGAUGUGGCUAGCAAAGUUGGCAACAGGUACAGUAUAACGAUCAUGAUCUGCAGAGGGAUAUCACCUAGGUGCAUAAAUCAUAAUCAUUCAGUUUUUAUUUGGCAAGCUGGAGCUACCUGGAACUUUCAAUUUUGGUGCCAAGAUGGAUGGAUU